CAGAGUUCAUGCCCGAAAGGGUAGACCUCCCACCCUUGUGUAUUAUUACUUUGUUGCUUUGGCGAGCUGCCUCUGGGCCUCGUACGCUCGCCAGAGACUAACCAAACUCUUUUUAUUCAUGUCGUCUGAGUACUAUAUAAUAGUUAA
Molecule: ribosomal RNA, 147 nt
Filed under: Myriosclerotinia caricis-ampullaceae
Lineage: Eukaryota; Fungi; Ascomycota; Leotiomycetes; Helotiales; Sclerotiniaceae
Description: ribosomal internal transcribed spacer 1
Source: RNAcentral